AACAAUCAGUGCCUUGGUGGGUAGCCAGCUUAAACUGCGACGCACACGAUGAACCCUGAGCGAGCAACCUCCUGCAGGCAAGCGAGACAAGAAUGAGAAGGGUGAGGCGGGCCCUUUCGUUUUUAAGACCUACGCCGAGGUGCACAAAGAGGUGGUGCAAGCGGCGUCAGCACUCCGUGCCUUGGGCGUUGAGCCUAGCCAGCGGGUCGGAGUAUUCGGCGCCAACUGCCCAGAGUGGAUGGUUGCAAUGCAGGUAUGCAUGGCGGACGUUAUCCGGCGAAGAUAACCGUGCUUGUCGGAUAUCUUACUACCUUCUCCUGACAGACGGCAGCAGUCCCAAAGCUGCCGGAAACUCGCUUCUUCGCUGAGCGACAUGCGCCCUUUGUGAUCGUUCCAUGGAUUAAACGAAAUUAAUGUACACAACUAAACCGCAUAUUAUGAUGUCAAGAUCUUGCCUUGUUAUGGAGGUUCUCCAUCGGAUCGGUGUGGUAGCCCUUGG
Molecule: long non-coding RNA, 499 nt
Filed under: Volvox carteri
Lineage: Eukaryota; Viridiplantae; Chlorophyta; Chlorophyceae; Chlamydomonadales; Volvocaceae
Description: long non-coding RNA (VCAR_LNC000493)
Source: RNAcentral